RNAcentral lists this ribosomal RNA (503 nucleotides) under Claviceps paspali (paspalum staggers ergot). Its description in RNAcentral is "partial large subunit ribosomal RNA". It matches the Rfam family "Eukaryotic large subunit ribosomal RNA", at positions 86 to 600 of the family's 3401-position model. Lineage: Eukaryota; Fungi; Ascomycota; Sordariomycetes; Hypocreales; Clavicipitaceae. The record is from RNAcentral.
ACGGCGAGUGAAGCGGCAACAGCUCAAUUUGAAAUCUGGCCUCCGGGCCCGAGUUGUAAUUUGCAGAGGAUGCUUUUGGCGAGGCGCCUUCCGAGUUCCCUGGAACGGGACGCCAUAGAGGGUGAGAGCCCCGUCUGGUUGGAUGCCGAGCCUCUGUAAAGCUCCUUCGACGAGUCGAGUAGUUUGGGAAUGCUGCUCUAAAUGGGAGGUAUAUGUCUUCUAAAGCUAAAUAUUGGCCAGAGACCGAUAGCGCACAAGUAGAGUGAUCGAAAGAUGAAAAGCACUUUGAAAAGAGGGUUAAACAGUACGUGAAAUUGUUGAAAGGGAAGCGCUUGUGACCAGACUUGGGCCCGGCGGAUCACCCAGCGUUCUCGCUGGUGCACUCCGGCGGGCCCAGGCCAGCAUCAGCUCGUCCCGGGGGACAAAGGCUCUGGGAAUGUGGCUCCUCCGGGAGUGUUAUAGCCCUCUGCGCAAUGCCCUGGGGCGGGCUGAGGACCGCGCAU